AGUAAUGCCUAGGAAUCUGCCUGGUAGUGGGGGACAACGUUUCGAAAGGAACGCUAAUACCGCAUACGUCCUACGGGAGAAAGCAGGGGACCUUCGGGCCUUGCGCUAUCAGAUGAGCCUAGGUCGGAUUAGCUAGUUGGUGAGGUAAUGGCUCACCAAGGCGACGAUCCGUAACUGGUCUGAGAGGAUGAUCAGUCACACUGGAACUGAGACACGGUCCAGACUCCUACGGGAGGCAGCAGUGGGGAAUAUUGGACAAUGGGCGAAAGCCUGAUCCAGCCAUGCCGCGUGUGUGAAGAAGGUCUUCGGAUUGUAAAGCACUUUAAGUUGGGAGGAAGGGUUGUAGAUUAAUACUCUGCAAUUUUGACGUUACCGACAGAAUAAGCACCGGCUAACUCUGUGCCAGCAGCCGCGGUAAUACAGAGGGUGCAAGCGUUAAUCGGAAUUACUGGGCGUAAAGCGCGCGUAGGUGGUUUGUUAAGUUGGAUGUGAAAUCCCCGGGCUCAACCUGGGAACUGCAUCCAAAACUGGCAAGCUAGAGUAUGGUAGAGGGUGGUGGAAUUUCCUGUGUAGCGGUGAAAUGCGUAGAUAUAGGAAGGAACACCAGUGGCGAAGGCGACCACCUGGACUGAUA
This 634-nucleotide ribosomal RNA is filed under the name Pseudomonas koreensis. RNAcentral describes it as "bacterial SSU rRNA". It matches the Rfam family "Bacterial small subunit ribosomal RNA", at positions 109 to 739 of the family's 1533-position model. Lineage: Bacteria; Pseudomonadati; Pseudomonadota; Gammaproteobacteria; Pseudomonadales; Pseudomonadaceae. The record is from RNAcentral.